CUCAUAGCGUAUAUUAAGUUGUUGCAGCUAAAACGCUCGUAGUCGAAUUUCGGGGCGGGCUGCUCGGUCUGCCGAUGGGUAUGCACUGGGUGGCGCGUCCUUCCUUCCGGAGACCGCGCCUUCUCUUAACUGAGCGGGCGCGGGAGACGGAACGUUUACUUUGAAAAAAUCAGAGUGUUUCAAGCAGGCAUCUCGCUCUUGCAUGGAUUAGCAUGGGAUAAUGAAAUAGGACUUUGGUGCUAUUUUGUUGGUUUCGAACACCGAAGUAAUGAUUAACAGGGACAGUCAGGGGCACUCGUAUUCCGUCGAGAGAGGUGAAAUUCUCAGACCAACGGAAGACGAACCACUGCGAAAGCAUUUGCCAG
Molecule: ribosomal RNA, 365 nt
Filed under: uncultured eukaryote
Lineage: Eukaryota
Description: SSU rRNA
Rfam family: Eukaryotic small subunit ribosomal RNA
Source: RNAcentral